UUGGCCAGACUCAGGCGUUUGCUGUGGAGCCCAACCACAUCCCUCCUCCACAUCUGGCCUCCUCCCAGGACUCUGCUCUGCAAUUAGAACAGCUGCCCUCCUUGUCAGCGAGGGAAUGAAAAACAGGAAAGCCAGGUAAACAAGAGCCAUGCUGCCCUGGAUAUACUGCUGGAGGGACGCUUUCUUAUUGGAAGCAGAGAUACUACAAAGGAGAACCUUCAAGGAUGUCCUGGACAGUGUUUUAUGGGCCUGAAGAAUAUGGAAGAGAAGGAAGGCCAGAAGAGGGCACCAGACCUCAUUACAGAUGGUUGUGAGCCACCAUGUGGUUGCUG
Chionomys nivalis (European snow vole) is the source of this 332-nucleotide long non-coding RNA. RefSeq lists it as uncharacterized. NCBI's taxonomy places the organism in Eukaryota, Metazoa, Chordata, Mammalia, Rodentia, Cricetidae. The record is from RefSeq and is a predicted model, not a curated record. The transcript is spliced from 3 exons.